This 75-nucleotide transfer RNA is filed under the name Candidatus Woesebacteria bacterium RIFCSPHIGHO2_01_FULL_38_9. RNAcentral's name for it is "tRNA-Val". It matches the Rfam family "tRNA". From Rfam's summary of the family: Transfer RNA (tRNA) molecules are approximately 80 nucleotides in length. Their secondary structure includes four short double-helical elements and three loops (D, anti-codon, and T loops). Lineage: Bacteria; Candidatus Woeseibacteriota. The record is from RNAcentral. RNAcentral also lists the same sequence under 1 other name.
GAACCCGUAGCUCAGUGGUAGAGCGUUCGGUUCACAUCCGAAAGGCCAGAGGUUCGAUACCUCUCGGGUUCACCA